UGUCCAUCAGGAGGGGAUUGUCGGCCUCCCCGGUAAUCUACGGAUAUUACUAAAGGUUAAGACUGAGGCAACAAAGCGACUCUAUUCAAAUAUCGGAGAUUGUGUAAUUCGCAAUUAAAAUAACAAGCAAAGGAGGAGAAACAGUCGCAGGCAAGAGGAGACCAGAGAGACGUAACUAAAUGUCAUGUGGGAGCUUGGACCACAGAAGGCACCUUAGUUUAACUGAAGCCAUGACACUGACCACCAUGACCCAAUCUUUCAAAACCAGUGAUGUGCCAUGAGUGCCAUUUUGUGAGAAGCCAUUUGUAUUUUGAGCAAACUCAGUGGCCUGAUGAUGACUGACAGGGAUGGCAACAUAACAGCAUACAUGGACUCAAGAUAUAGCAGAGAAGAACUUCUUAUACAUCAGCUCAUUUACUCCUUACAGCAACCCUAAGAAGUAGGUAACGUUAUCAUAUCCUAUUUCACAGAAAGGAAACAGACAGUACAAGCAACCUGCCAGAAGUCACACAGUCCAUUAGUGGGGAACUGGGAUUCAACCCUAAAAGUCAGGUUCCAGACAAUCGUGCUAAAUGUUUGGAGUCCCUGCCUGUCCUUCAAUUGGAGGGAAGAUUAAGGGGCAACUGAACACAACCUGCAAAUUUCACCAGAGAAGUUGUGACUUGAAUGCAAUCCAGAAAUGUAGCUGCCAGAUGCCGUUUUCCCAACAUUUGAAAAUCUGGGCUAAAGCGAAUUUCAUUGUAUCGGGAGGGAAAAGGAAUGGACUUAUUAUAUGAUGGUACAUACACAGCUUCAAAAAAGAAGACAUGCAUAUUAAUUACACAGAAGAAUGUCAGUGAUACAGAAAUUGAGAGAAAAAUAUAAACGUAUAAAAGUAUAUAAAAUAUGAUGCUACUGCUGUUCAGAAAAAUUUUUUAAACACACAUACACAAUUAUAUGUGCAGAGAAAAAAGGUCUGAAAUAAACAAGGUGAUCAGCAGAUAAAUCCAUCCAGUGAACAGAAACUUUUUUAAUCUGUAAAUUUCUGUAACCAUGGAUUUAAAAAUCUAUAUUUAAAAUGUAUACAAUAAAAGUCAAUUAAAACAAUACCUGC
RNAcentral lists this long non-coding RNA (1093 nucleotides) under Homo sapiens (human). RNAcentral's name for it is "HSALNT0082217". Lineage: Eukaryota; Metazoa; Chordata; Mammalia; Primates; Hominidae. The record is from RNAcentral.